Molecule: ribosomal RNA, 800 nt
Filed under: uncultured Staphylococcus sp.
Lineage: Bacteria; Bacillati; Bacillota; Bacilli; Caryophanales; Staphylococcaceae
Description: SSU rRNA
Rfam family: Bacterial small subunit ribosomal RNA
Source: RNAcentral
GAGGAGCUUGCUCCUCUGACGUUAGCGGCGGACGGGUGAGUAACACGUGGAUAACCUACCUAUAAGACUGGGAUAACUUCGGGAAACCGGAGCUAAUACCGGAUAAUAUAUUGAACCGCAUGGUUCAAUAGUGAAAGACGGUUUUGCUGUCACUUAUAGAUGGAUCCGCGCCGCAUUAGCUAGUUGGUAAGGUAACGGCUUACCAAGGCAACGAUGCGUAGCCGACCUGAGAGGGUGAUCGGCCACACUGGAACUGAGACACGGUCCAGACUCCUACGGGAGGCAGCAGUAGGGAAUCUUCCGCAAUGGGCGAAAGCCUGACGGAGCAACGCCGCGUGAGUGAUGAAGGUCUUCGGAUCGUAAAACUCUGUUAUUAGGGAAGAACAAAUGUGUAAGUAACUAUGCACGUCUUGACGGUACCUAAUCAGAAAGCCACGGCUAACUACGUGCCAGCAGCCGCGGUAAUACGUAGGUGGCAAGCGUUGUCCGGAAUUAUUGGGCGUAAAGCGCGCGUAGGCGGUUUUUUAAGUCUGAUGUGAAAGCCCACGGCUCAACCGUGGAGGGUCAUUGGAAACUGGAAAACUUGAGUGCAGAAGAGGAAAGUGGAAUUCCAUGUGUAGCGGUGAAAUGCGCAGAGAUAUGGAGGAACACCAGUGGCGAAGGCGACUUUCUGGUCUGUAACUGACGCUGAUGUGCGAAAGCGUGGGGAUCAAACAGGAUUAGAUACCCUGGUAGUCCACGCCGUAAACGAUGAGUGCUAAGUGUUAGGGGGUUUCCGCCCCUUAGUGCUGCAGCUAACG